Molecule: ribosomal RNA, 587 nt
Filed under: uncultured bacterium
Lineage: Bacteria
Description: bacterial SSU rRNA
Rfam family: Bacterial small subunit ribosomal RNA (bases 1-521)
Source: RNAcentral
CCUACGGGAGGCAGCAGUGGGGAAUUUUCCACAAUGGGCGAAAGCCUGACGGAGCAAUACCGCGUGAGGGAGGAAGGCUCUUGGGUUGUAAACCUCUUUUCUCAGGGAAGAAAAAAAUGACGGUACCUGAGGAAUAAGCAUCGGCUAACUCCGUGCCAGCAGCCGCGGUAAUACGGAGGAUGCAAGCGUUAUCCGGAAUGAUUGGGCGUAAAGCGUCCGCAGGUGGCUAUGUAAGUCUGCUGUUAAAGAGUCUAGCUCAACUAGAUAAAGGCAGUGGAAACUACAAGGCUAGAGUGCGUUCGGGGCAGAGGGAAUUCCUGGUGUAGCGGUGAAAUGCGUAGAGAUCAGGAAGAACACCGGUGGCGAAGGCGCUCUGCUAGGCCGCAACUGACACUGAGGGACGAAAGCUAGGGGAGCGAAUGGGAUUAGAUACCCCAGUAGUCCUAGCCGUAAACGAUGGAUACUAGGCGUGGCUUGUAUCGACCCGAGCCGUGCCGUAGCUAACGCGUUAAGUAUCCGCCUGGGGNGACGCGCGACGAGACACANANAUAGACGCGNGAGAGNGCGACGACGACGACGAGGAGAGG